AAUGGGUGAGGUGAUAGAGGGAAGCAUAAACGGCUGUGGGAGCACUAGGAGGGACUUCACCCAGAGGAGGGAAUGCCUAAACAGUUGUUUAGAUGGAUGCACAGGUAAGUGGGUGGCUGGGUGGAUGAAUGAAUGGAUGAUGGAUGUACAGGUAAGUGGGUGGCUGGGUGGAUGAAUGAAUGGAUGAUGGAUGUACAGGUAAGUGGGUGGAUGGGUGGAUGAAUGAGUGGGUGAUGGAUGUACAGUUAGUAUGUGGAUGGGUGGAUGAAUGAAUGGAUGAAUAGGUAUAUAGGUGGGUGGAUGCAUUUGUGGGUAGAUAGGUGGAUGGAUGGCUAGGUUGGUAUGUGGGUGGAUAGGUGAGUAGAUGAAUGGGGGAAUUGGGGAAGGGUCAAUAAAUGGUUGUACGGGUGAGGAAACGUCACAGAAGGCAGUGGGGAAUGAGAGCAUAUUCCUGAUCAGGGCAGUCUUCCUUUACCUGGACUGUGAACACCUGAGGGCCGGGGACAAUACCUGAGUCAUCCCUUUAUUUCCACACCUAGCACAGGCCUGAUUCGUGGUAGGCCUUCAAUAAAUGUCGAGUAUGCGAAUCAACGAUAAUCAAGGAAUACCACGAAUUCAGAGUUCAGCCAAAUCUCUUCCCCUUUCUGGGCCUCAGUUUCUCUGUGUAAAUCAGAUAUGAAAACACCUGCCAUCAGAAUUUUUAAUGCUGUUGGUGCUGCAAAAGGGAGACUGUGCUUGGGAACCUGUUUUAGAAUUCGCCAUGUGACAGACCUCAGGCAACCAGCGUCUUCUACUUUGCCCACUGUCGCACUCCACAUCCGUGCCUCCGCGGCACUUUGUGUACAUUAUCUUACUCAACACUGGAUAGGUAUUGUUGUGAUUAUGCCCAUUUAACAGAUGAGGCUGUUGAGGCUCGGAGAGGCCAAGAAACUUUGAAGUCAGAUCAAUUGAGAUCGAAAUCCUGGCUCUGCCGUGUAAACUUGGGAAAGUUUACUUCACCUCUGGGAACCUCUCAAAGAUGAGGAGAUUAAACGAGAUAAAGCAUGGAAAGCGCCUGGCACACAGGAGGUCAUUGGUGGUGGUUCUCUUCGUUGCUCAAGCCGGGAAGUUAGAGUGAGAUUCUGUUCUUUCUAUCAACCAUGCUGAUGCCUUUACGUUAGUUAACAAAAAAGAUUACAGUUCUGCUUGGACUAUGGUGCUUCAACAUAUGUAAGGAAGAUUUCAACUGCACAUUUUGAAACUUGCAACGUUCAGAAUAACUAAAUAAUCAGUGAGCUGCUGUGGCCUCCCCGGGAAGAUAAUGUGCCAUUUCCUUCCCCCUCCUGCCUCCUAGUGGUGAAUGUGGGCACUGCAGGCUCAGCAUCCCCGCCCCCUCCCUCAACCUUCCAUCCAGGAGAGCCAGGCUCCCGGCUGCCUCCCAGGCCAUCUAGUGACUGUUGACUGCAGAGCAAGAAAGGAGGAGCGUGUGCCAAGCAAAUGAAUGAAGACGUCCUGCCUAGACCUCACGCCCUGCUCCAUCACUCACUGGCUGUGCGGCCUUGGGGGUAUCGUUCCCUGAAUGUUAGUUUCCACGUUGGUAAAAAUGGGUAAGACACCUACCUUGGAGAAUUUGGGGGGAUGAAUAUACUAACUGAGGCAAAACACCUAGCAAAGGGCGGAUGCUCCAUAAAAUAUAGUUCCUCUGCUAAUAAAAGGAAAAAUUAAAUAGCCCGACUAAAUUAUUACAGACUGGCUCACAGUUUCAUAGCAGAGUAAAGGGCCACGGGGCAGGUCAGUUUUGAGGGCAGGGGAAGAAGGUCAAAGGGCAUUGUUAGGACAAUCCAGGGCUGGGGCACAGCCGGGGAGUGUGGGUGCAGAGUCAAGAAGAGAUUCAAGAGCAUACCAAUGACCUUGAGAAGUGACCUCUGCUUGUGUUGUUAGGACACAGACAUGUGGAGGUCUCAGGCCACAGCAGAGGAGGGGACAUGAACAACAGCAAGUGUUCCAGGAAGGACUGUGGACCAGGCCAGUCAAGGAGUGCUCCCUGGAGGAAGGGAUAUUUAAAGCUGGGGUAGGUUCUGGAGAGUGAGGCGGGGAUCGAGGGGGUGUUCCAGAUCAGGGAGGGAAAGAAAGAGGAAGCACAAGCCAAGGUCCAAGGGCUUUGAGAAGGAGACCAGCUGGAGAGAAGGCAGGGCAGGAGGUCAGGCCAGACCACCCUGGGGCCAGGAGCUUCACCGGGACCCCCUGGAUGGGGAGGAGCCUGAGAAAAUGUUCCAACAGGGCCUGACAAGGGCAGAGGCUGAGCAGCUUAACUUAACAUCUCUGUGCAGAUUGGAUGGGAAGAAUGACUAGAUUUGGUUAAAUGCACGAAAAAUUCAAAGCCACAAUCCCUGAAGCCAGUAUGGGGUAGGAACAGCAAAGGGACACAGCUGUCUCCUGGCCCCGGCUCUUUUCAGCAGGCUCAGCGGCAGCUCCCCUCACUGAAAGGUGGCAAGGUGCAGUGCAGGGCCAGCCCUAGACCUGCUGAGCACCGCGACUGCCUGGGGACUGGGGCACCUUGAAAAACCAACUCCCCCACUCCAGCCCACAGCAGCUGAAGUAGGAUUUCUGGGGUUGGGCCCUGGAAUCAGAAUUGUUAGUAGCUCUGCAGGUGAUAGAGGUACUCCUCCAGGCUGAGGAUAAUCCGUGAGCAGGGAAAGAAUGGGGAUUUGGAGAAGGAUGGACGCAGAGCCAAUGCCAGGCCCAUUCCUUUUGGGCUGUGCUGCCCUGGGCAAGUCACUUCACCACUCUGAGUCCCAGGGUCCCACCUAUAAAACAGGCAUGAAAAACUCUCCCCAAAGAAUUGGCUAGAAAUGAUUUUGGAGGAAAUGAGGCCAGUCCCCAGGAAGGAAUGGCUGCAGCAGAUUAAUGUCAAGGUUUGCCCUGGGUUUUCCCUUGCCCAUCACGCCAUCCCAGCUGGCCCUGGAAGAAGUAGUGGGGGGCAGACAGGGCACGUCCUAGGGGCCUCAAUGUCCCUUCAGGGGCUCUUCCUCCCUCCGACCAGCCUCCAGGCGCCCUCAGCUGCCCCCUCCCCUUUCGUCUCAGGCAAGCCAGGGCUAGCUCCCAGGAGAGAGGCCAGCAUUCUGUGGUUUCGGAGCCCCCGGGGACCCCAAGGUCUCUGGGUGGUUGUAGGGUGAUCAUUUACGGUGGCUGAAUGGGGGCCUAGAGGUCAAGUGUGGAUCCUGCGGUCAAUGAGGAGGAAGGAACGACAGGAUUGGAUUGCUGGCUGGGUAUAAGGAGGGAUGAGGGCAUUGAAGGUGACGCCCUGGUUUUGGGCCUGGACAAGGGGUGAGCCAAGGAGGGAGUAGGAGAAAGGAGUGUGCCUGUUACUGUGGCAGGACACACAGGAAGAGCAGAUUUGGGGUGGGAGAAGAUCCUCAGCUUCCUAAUGGGGAGGAGAAUGUAUCAGAACUCCUUCCAGCCCCCUGGCUCAACAGAUUCAAAGUGGCUUAGACACACAGCGCGUUCUGUUUUCUGCGUUUGUUUUUCUUCUCCCAUGAAGCAGUCCAGGUGGGCGUCCAGGGCAGGUACUGAGCCCCACCAAGUUAUCAAGGAUCCAGACGGCUCCCAUCUUUCUGCUCCAGCGCACGUGACUGCCGCCCUUCCCAUCACCUCAGGAUCCAAGAUGGCAGUGGAGUCGGGCAUCACGUGUCUGUCCAGUCGGUGAACAGGAGGAAGGGGAGGGGGAGACGGGACGAGACUGCGAGUCAAGUGAGCUUCUUUCAAGUAAUCUCAGAAGUCCCCCAUGACACCUUCACAUCUGUUGGGAAGAACCAAGUCACAUGGCCAUUACUACUGCCAAGGCAGGCUGGGAAAUAGCAUCUUUAUUAUGGACAACCAUGUACCCAGCUCAACAGUGGGGACCUGUUGCUAGGUACAAAGAAGAGAAUAGAUGCGGGGAGGCAGCUGGCAGUCCUUGCCCUAAUCAUCACUCAAGAUGCCCAGAACU
Molecule: long non-coding RNA, 3967 nt
Organism: Equus caballus (horse)
Lineage: Eukaryota; Metazoa; Chordata; Mammalia; Perissodactyla; Equidae
Source: Ensembl